UACGUAGGUGGCAAGCGUUGUCCGGAAUUAUUGGGCGUAAAGGGCGCGUAGGCGGUCACGCACGUCCGUUGUGAAAUCGCUCGGCUCAACUGGGCGGGGUCAGCGGAUACGGCGUGGCUGGAGCAAGCUAGGGGGCAAUGGAAUUCCCGGUGUAGUGGUGGAAUGCGUAGAUAUCGGGAGGAACACCAGUGGCGAAGGCGGUUGCCUGGAGCUUUGCUGACGCUGAUGCGCGAAAGCGUGGGGAGCGAUCCGG
Molecule: ribosomal RNA, 253 nt
Filed under: uncultured bacterium
Lineage: Bacteria
Description: partial 16S ribosomal RNA
Rfam family: Bacterial small subunit ribosomal RNA
Source: RNAcentral